AGUGAACGCUGGCGGUAGGCCUAACACAUGCCAGUCGAACGGCAGCACAGUAAGAGCUUGCUCUUACGGUUGGCGAGUGGCGGACGGGUGAGGCAUACAUCGGAAUCUACUUUUUCUUGGGGGAUAACGUAGGGAAACUUACGCUAAUACCGCAUACGACCUACGGGUGAAAUCAGGGGAUCUUCAGACCUUUCGCGAUUGAAUGAGCCGAUGUCGGAUUAGCUAGUUGGCGUGGUAAAGGCCCACCAAGGCGACGAUCCGUAGCUGGUCUGAGAGGAUGAUCAGCCACACUGGAACUGAGACACGGUCCAGACUCCUACGGGAGGCAGCAGUGGGGAAUAUUGGACAAUGGGCGAAAGCCUGAUCCAGCCAUACCGCGUGGGUGAAGAAGGCCUUCGGGUUGUAAAGCCCUUUUGUUGGGAAAGAAAAGCAGCAGGUUAAUACCCCGCUGUUCUGACGGUACCCAAAGAAUAAGCACCGGCUAACUUCGUG
This 492-nucleotide ribosomal RNA is filed under the name uncultured bacterium. Its description in RNAcentral is "partial 16S ribosomal RNA". It matches the Rfam family "Bacterial small subunit ribosomal RNA", at positions 29 to 507 of the family's 1533-position model. The record is from RNAcentral.